RNAcentral lists this ribosomal RNA (251 nucleotides) under Pseudo-nitzschia fraudulenta. RNAcentral's name for it is "partial Bacterial large subunit ribosomal RNA". It matches the Rfam family "Bacterial large subunit ribosomal RNA", at positions 2032 to 2282 of the family's 2925-position model. The record is from RNAcentral. Lineage: Eukaryota; Bacillariophyta; Bacillariophyceae; Bacillariales; Bacillariaceae.
CUCAGCGAAAUUGAAUUCUCCGUGAAGAUGCGGAGUACCCGCGGUUAGACGGAAAGACCCCGUGCACCUUUACUACAGCUUCACACUGGCAUCAGGCCAAGCAUGUGCAGGAUAGGUGGUAGGCUUCGAAGCAGGGACGCCAGUCCCUGUGGAGCCUCCCUUGAGAUACCACCCUUGUUUUGCUUGAUGUCUAACCGCGGUCCGUUAUCCGGAUCCGGGACCCUGCGUGGUGGGUAGUUUGACUGGGGCGG